RNAcentral lists this long non-coding RNA (445 nucleotides) under Vulpes vulpes (red fox). RNAcentral describes it as "lncRNA (ENSVVUG00000004503.1)". The record is from RNAcentral. Lineage: Eukaryota; Metazoa; Chordata; Mammalia; Carnivora; Canidae.
AAAAUAGUCAAAGAAUAGACAAGCAGCUGCAGUGAGCAUUUCUAACACUAGAUUUUAUGCCAUCCCUCUCCCCUCCAAAAAAGUGAACUGUUUAUCAAGAAGAUACUAUGUAUCUACUUUUAUGAAGUUAUUAUCUCUUUUCUUUGUUAUCCCUCAGCCCUUGAGAAAUGGAAGGAAAAGGGAAACAACACAGGCCAAAGCAUCAGAAAACCAUUUUGUUCUGGUUUUAUGCUCCUUUCUCUAGCCAGACUCUGACAGCAUCCUGGUUUUUCUGCAUUAAGGUCAUUUUAUAUUUACCCAGACUUAUAGAAUGUGUCCUUCCAGGAUCCAGACUGAGAGCUUGUGAUGCUUAACCCAUUGUUAGCUAGUUUUGUUUACCUGGUACCACAGAAUUCUAUAGUUACAUAAAUCAGCAGGGGAAGCACUGGGGAAGACAACCAUUGGU